Molecule: ribosomal RNA, 429 nt
Filed under: Chloroflexota bacterium
Lineage: Bacteria; Bacillati; Chloroflexota
Description: Chloroflexi bacterium partial 16S ribosomal RNA
Rfam family: Bacterial small subunit ribosomal RNA
Source: RNAcentral
UGGGGAAUAUUUCACAAUGGGCGCAAGCCUGAUGCAGCCAUGCCGCGUGUAUGAAGAAGGCCUUCGGGUUGUAAAGUACUUUCAGCGGGGAGGAAGGGAGUAAAGUUAAUACCUUUGCUCAUUGACGUUACCCGCAGAAGAAGCACCGGCUAACUCCGUGCCAGCAGCCGCGGUAAUACGGAGGGUGCAAGCGUUAAUCGGAAUUACUGGGCGUAAAGCGCACGCAGGCGGUUUGUUAAGUCAGAUGUGAAAUCCCCGGGCUCAACCUGGGAACUGCAUCGGAUACUGGCAAGCUUGAGUCUCGUAGAGGGGGGUAGAAUUCCAGGUGUAGCGGUGAAAUGCGUAGAGAUCUGGAGGAAUACCGGUGGCGAAGGCGGCCCCCUGGACGAAGACUGACGCUGAGGUGCGAAAGCGUGGGGAGCAAACAGG